UGAAUUGGUAUUGCAAAUGACAUGUAUGCAAAUUGGCAUUUGCAUUACCAAUACACA
This is a microRNA precursor of Macaca fascicularis (crab-eating macaque), 57 nucleotides long. The record is from Ensembl. Lineage: Eukaryota; Metazoa; Chordata; Mammalia; Primates; Cercopithecidae.